This 861-nucleotide ribosomal RNA is filed under the name uncultured organism. Its description in RNAcentral is "SSU rRNA". It matches the Rfam family "Bacterial small subunit ribosomal RNA", at positions 614 to 1462 of the family's 1533-position model. The record is from RNAcentral.
UGUGGAGGGUUAUUGGAAAUUGGGGGAUUUGAGUGUAGGAGAGGAGAGUGGAAUUUUAUGUGUAGUGGUGAAAUGGGUAGAGAUGUGGAGGAACACCAGUGGCGAAGGGCGGCUCUCUGGCCUGCAACUGACGCUGAGGCGCGAAAGCGUGCGGAGCAAACAGGAUUAGAUACCCUGGUAAUCCACGCCCGUAACCAUGAGUGCUAAGUGUUAGAGGGGUCACACCCUUUAAGUAUUGCAGUUUACGCGGUAAGCAACGCGGCCUGGGGAGUACGGGCCGCAAGGCUGAACUCCAAAGGAAUUGACGGGGGCCCGCACAAAACGGGUGGAGCAUGUGGUUUAAUUCGAAGCAACGCGAAGAACCUUACCAGGUCUUGACAUCCCCUGACAACCCAAGAGAUUGGGCGUUCCCCCUUCGGGGGGGACAGGGUGACAGGUGGUGCAUGGUUGUCGUCAGCUCGUGUCGUGAGAUGUUGGGUUAAGUCCCGCAACGAGCGCAACCCUUGCCUCUAGUUGCCAGCAUGAAGGUGGGCACUCUAGAGGGACUGCCGGCGACAAGUCGGAGGAAGGUGGGGAGGACGUCAAAUCAUCAUGCCCCUUAUGACCUGGGCUACACACGUGUUACAAUGGGCGGUGCAAAGGGCUGCGAACCCGCGAGGGGGAGCGAAUCCCAAAAAACCGCUCUCAGUUCGGAUUGCAGGCUGCAACUCGCCUGCAUGAAGCCGGAAUCGGUAGUAAUCGCGGAUCAGCAUGCCGCGGUGAAUACGUUCCCGGGCCUUGUACACACCGCCCGUCACACCACGAGAGCUUGCAACACCGGAAGUCGGUGAGGUAACCCUUACGGGAGCCAGCCGCCGAAGA